GAUGAACGCUGGCGGCGUGCCUAAUACAUGCAAGUCGAGCGAACGGACGAGAAGCUUGCUUUUCUGAUGUUAGCGGCGGACGGGUGAGUAACACGUGGAUAACCUACCUAUAAGACUGGGAUAACUUCGGGAAACCGGAGCUAAUACCGGAUAAUAUUUUGAACCGCAUGGUUCAAAGGUGAAAGACGGUCUUGCUGUCACUUAUAUAUGGAUCCGCGCUGCAUUAGCUAGUUGGUAAGGUAACGGCUUACCAAGGCAACGAUGCAUAGCCGACCUGAGAGGGUGAUCGGCCACACUGGAACUGAGACACGGUCCAGACUCCUACGGGAGGCAGCAGUAGGGAAUCUUCCGCAAUGGGCGCGCGCCUGACGGAGCAACGCCGACUGCGUGAUGAAGGUCUUCGGAUCGUAAAACUCUGUUAUUAGGGAAGAACAUAUGUGUAAGUAACUGUGCACAUCUUGACGGUAACUAAUCAGAAAGCCACGGCUAACUACGUG
RNAcentral lists this ribosomal RNA (497 nucleotides) under uncultured bacterium. RNAcentral describes it as "partial 16S ribosomal RNA". It matches the Rfam family "Bacterial small subunit ribosomal RNA", at positions 28 to 507 of the family's 1533-position model. The record is from RNAcentral.